Molecule: transfer RNA, 91 nt
Filed under: Verrucomicrobiota bacterium
Lineage: Bacteria; Pseudomonadati; Verrucomicrobiota
Description: Verrucomicrobia bacterium (groundwater metagenome) tRNA-Ser
Rfam family: tRNA
About the family: Transfer RNA (tRNA) molecules are approximately 80 nucleotides in length.
Source: RNAcentral
GGAGAGAUGGCAGAGUGGUCUAAUGCGCACGCCUGGAAAGCGUGAGUACUCCAAAAGGGUACCGAGAGUUCGAAUCUCUCUCUCUCCGCCA